UGUUAUUAAAGAAUUUCGAUAACCGAUGGGGAUGCGUUCCAUUAGGUUGUUGGCGGGGUAACGGCCCACCAAGACAUCGAUGGAUAGGGGUUCUGAGAGGAAGGUCCCCCACAUUGGAACUGAGACACGGUCCAAACUCCUACGGGAGGCAGCAGUGAGGAAUAUUGGUCAAUGGACGAAAGUCUGAACCAGCCAAGUAGCGUGAAGGAUGACUGCCCUAUGGGUUGUAAACUUCUUUUAUAUGGGAAUAAAGUGAGCCACGUGUGGCUUUUUGUAUGUACCAUACGAAUAAGGGUCGGCUAACUCCGUGCCAGCAGCCGCGGUAAUACGGAGGAUCCGAGCGUUAUCCGGAUUUAUUGGGUUUAAAGGGAGCGUAGGCGGACUAUUAAGUCAGCUGUGAAAGUUUGCGGCUCAACCGUAAAAUUGCAGUUGAUACUGGGCGUCUUGAGUGCAGUAGAGGUAGGCGGAAUUCGUGGUGUAGCGGUGAAAUGCUUAGAUAUCACGAAGAACUCCGAUUGCGAAGGCAGCUCACUGGACUGUAACUGACGCUGAUGCUCGAAAGUGUGGGUAUCAAACAGGAUUAGAUACCCUGGUAGUCCACACAGUAAACGAUGAAUACUCGCUGUUUGCGAUAUACGGCAAGCGGCCA
RNAcentral lists this ribosomal RNA (649 nucleotides) under uncultured bacterium. Its description in RNAcentral is "bacterial SSU rRNA". It matches the Rfam family "Bacterial small subunit ribosomal RNA", at positions 196 to 849 of the family's 1533-position model. The record is from RNAcentral.